GAACGCUAGCGACAGGCUUAACACAUGCAAGUCGAGGGGCAGCGGGGGUAGCAAUACCCGCCGGCGACCGGCGCACGGGUGAGUAACGCGUAUGCAACUUGCCUAUCAGAGGGGGAUAACCCGGCGAAAGUCGGACUAAUACCGCAUGAAGCAGGGGCCCCGCAUGGGGAUAUUUGCUAAAGAUUCAUCGCUGAUAGAUAGGCAUGCGUUCCAUUAGGCAGUUGGCGGGGUAACGGCCCACCAAACCGACGAUGGAUAGGGGUUCUGAGAGGAAGGUCCCCCACAUUGGUACUGAGACACGGACCAAACUCCUACGGGAGGCAGCAGUGAGGAAUAUUGGUCAAUGGGCGCGAGCCUGAACCAGCCAAGUCGCGUGAGGGAUGAAGGUUCUAUGGAUCGUAAACCUCUUUUAUAAGGGAAUAAAGUGCGGGACGUGUCCCGUUUUGUAUGUACCUUAUGAAUAAGGAUCGGCUAACUCCGUGCCAGCAGCCGCGGUAAUACGGAGGAUCCGAGCGUUACCCGGAUUUAUUGGGUUUAAAGGGUGCGUAGGCGGCCUUUUAAGUCAGCGGUGAAAGUCUGUGGCUCAACCAUAGAAUUGCCGUUGAAACUGGGGGGCUUGAGUAUGUUUGAGGCAGGCGGAAUGCGUGGUGUAGCGGUGAAAUGCUUAGAUAUCACGCAGAACCCCGAUUGCGAAGGCAGCCUGCCAAGCCAUGACUGACGCUGAUGCACGAAAGCGUGGGGAUCAAACAGGAUUAGAUACCCUGGUAGUCCACGCAGUAAACGAUGAUCACUAGCUGUUUGCGAUACAGUGUAAGCGGCACAGCGAAAGCGUUAAGUGAUCCACCUGGGGAGUACGCCGGCAACGGUGAAACUCAAAGGAAUUGACGGGGGCCCGCACAAGCGGAGGAACAUGUGGUUUAAUUCGAUGAUACGCGAGGAACCUUACCCGGGUUUGAACGCAUUCGGACCGAGGUGGAAACACCUUUUCUAGCAAUAGCCGUUUGCGAGGUGCUGCAUGGUUGUCGUCAGCUCGUGCCGUGAGGUGUCGGCUUAAGUGCCAUAACGAGCGCAACCCUUGCCACUAGUUACUAACAGGUUAGGCUGAGGACUCUGGUGGGACUGCCAGCGUAAGCUGCGAGGAAGGCGGGGAUGACGUCAAAUCAGCACGGCCCUUACAUCCGGGGCGACACACGUGUUACAAUGGCGUGGACAAAGGGAUGCCACCUGGCGACAGGGAGCGAAUCCCCAAACCACGUCUCAGUUCGGAUCGGAGUCUGCAACCCGACUCCGUGAAGCUGGAUUCGCUAGUAAUCGCGCAUCAGCCAUGGCGCGGUGAAUACGUUCCCGGGCCUUGUACACACCGCCCGUCAAGCCAUGGGAGCCGGGGGUACCUGAAGUCCGUAACCGCGAGGAUCGGCCUAGGGUAAAACUGGUGACUGGG
Molecule: ribosomal RNA, 1441 nt
Filed under: uncultured organism
Description: 16S ribosomal RNA
Rfam family: Bacterial small subunit ribosomal RNA
Source: RNAcentral